Molecule: ribosomal RNA, 433 nt
Filed under: uncultured bacterium
Lineage: Bacteria
Description: partial 16S ribosomal RNA
Rfam family: Bacterial small subunit ribosomal RNA
Source: RNAcentral
AACGAACGCUGGCGGCAUGCCUAACACAUGCAAGUCGAACGAGACCUUCGGGUCUAGUGGCGCACGGGUGCGUAACGCGUGGGAAUCUGCCCUUGGGUUCGGAAUAACAGUUGGAAACGACUGCUAAUACCGGAUGAUGACGUAAGUCCAAAGAUUUAUCGCCCAAGGAUGAGCCCGCGUAGGAUUAGCUAGUUGGUGAGGUAAAGGCUCACCAAGGCGACGAUCCUUAGCUGGUCUGAGAGGAUGAUCAGCCACACUGGGACUGAGACACGGCCCAGACUCCUACGGGAGGCAGCAGUGGGGAAUAUUGGACAAUGGGCGAAAGCCUGAUCCAGCAAUGCCGCGUGAGUGAUGGAGGCCUUAGGGUUGUAAAGCUCUUUUACCCGGGAUGAUAAUGACAGUACCGGGAGAAUAAGCUCCGGCUAACUCCGUG